UUCUUACUAGCUCAAUGGCAGAGCAGAAUACUUCUAAAUUUUGAUCCAAGUUCGACCCUUGGGUAAGAAU
Melampsora americana is the source of this 70-nucleotide non-coding RNA. The record is from the annotation of a GenBank genome assembly. Lineage: Eukaryota; Fungi; Basidiomycota; Pucciniomycetes; Pucciniales; Melampsoraceae.